RNAcentral lists this ribosomal RNA (253 nucleotides) under uncultured bacterium. RNAcentral's name for it is "partial 16S ribosomal RNA". It matches the Rfam family "Bacterial small subunit ribosomal RNA", at positions 524 to 776 of the family's 1533-position model. The record is from RNAcentral.
UACGGAGGGUGCAAGCGUUAAUCGGAAUUACUGGGCGUAAAGCGUACGCAGGCGGUUUGUUAAGUCAGCUGUGAAAGCCCCGGGCUCAACCUGGGAACUGCAGUUGAUACUGGCAAGCUAGAGUAUGGGAGAGGGUUGUGGAAUUCCACGUGUAGCGGUGAAAUGCGUAGAUAUGUGGAGGAACACCAGUGGCGAAGGCGACAGCCUGGCCCAAUACUGACGCUCAUGUACGAAAGCGUGGGGAGCAAACAGG